CCCUGCCAUUUGUACACACCGCCCGUCGCUACUACCGAUUGAAUGUUUUAGUGAGCCCUUCGGAUUGGCGCUCUAGAGGCGGCAACGCCUUCUGAGUGCUGAAAAGUUGUGCAAACUUGAGCAUUUAGAGGAAG
This 134-nucleotide ribosomal RNA is filed under the name uncultured eukaryote. Its description in RNAcentral is "partial small subunit ribosomal RNA". It matches the Rfam family "Eukaryotic small subunit ribosomal RNA", at positions 1651 to 1782 of the family's 1831-position model. The record is from RNAcentral.